AGUGACAACUGAUACUACAAUAAAGAAGCGGAAGAGGAGACAAAAAUCUAAUCGCCAUUACUGCUACCAUGGCCGAAGCUGCAACGAAGAAGUGGAAGGUUUUGUCUGAGGAAACGAAAAAAGAAAGAGGGAGAGCAACCGGACCAAGGCGCUAUCAAGGAUCAACAUUGGCUCGGCUUUCACUCGCUGGCGUGAGCUCAGAGACGAGGAGAGUUUUCCAACCUAUGCGGCCUUGGCGAUAUUCCUGUUGGACAACUAUCAGCAGAAGCAAGUAACUUCUACUCCACGCAAGCGGCACUUGCAAACCACUGCAGCCCAUUGUUUCCAGCUUGACAGAGUCUGACCAUAAUGGGUUCCACAGCUCACCAGGCUCUUGUAGCCAUUGUACUCUCCUACACUCCAGCAGUGUAUCGCAUCCGGACUGCCGAACUGCCACAACGGCCGCCCCCCAGCACAAAACAAAGAUGGACACAAGAUGUUUUUGGCAUAUCUAAGGACAAGUUCUGAGUAGAAUCUCAUAGAAAUUUAUGCUUCUCUCCAGAUACAGAAGACACUACAACAAGAAGUCAAAAUCCUGAAGUGUCUACGCUGUAAAGGAAAAGGAUUACUCUUACACCCCAGACCCUCAGAGACUCAUUCUUGGGAAGAGGCUGCGAAGUGGUGGUGGCCUUCCCAAAAAACGGACCCUUAGGCCAGAUGACCCCCGGAAUUUAGGGGUCCUGGCUUUCAGCCACCCCCAACUGCUGAACUCACGUGAAACGUGGCGAAGGUGUUCCCCCUAGU
This is a long non-coding RNA of Synchiropus splendidus (mandarinfish), 783 nucleotides long. RefSeq lists it as uncharacterized. NCBI's taxonomy places the organism in Eukaryota, Metazoa, Chordata, Actinopteri, Syngnathiformes, Callionymidae. The record is from RefSeq and is a predicted model, not a curated record. The transcript has 3 exons.